Molecule: ribosomal RNA, 390 nt
Filed under: Phelsuma astriata
Lineage: Eukaryota; Metazoa; Chordata; Lepidosauria; Squamata; Gekkonidae
Description: partial 12S ribosomal RNA
Rfam family: Bacterial small subunit ribosomal RNA
Source: RNAcentral
GCCAGUCGUAAACCCAAGCAAACACUUACUAAUUUGCUCGCCAGAAAAUUACAAGCGAAAGCACAAAAUUCAAAGGACUUGACGGUGUUCCACAUCAACCUAGAGGAGCCUGUCCUAUAAUCGAUAAUCCACGUUAUACCUCACCCACUUUUGCCACUGCAGCCUAUAUACCGCCGUCGCCAGCCAAUCCAAUGAUAGAUUUAAAAUUGGCAAAAGUGUCCACCACCAAAACGUCAGGUCAAGGUGUAGCUAAUAAGUGGGCUGAGAUGGGCUACAUUUUUUAAAUUAAAAAAUACUGAAAGGAGCAUGAAACAUGAACUAUAAAGGUGGAUUUAGCAGUAAAUUUGCGCAAGAAGUGCCAUAUUGAAAUUAGCUCUGGAACGCGUACAC